This 30-nucleotide non-coding RNA is filed under the name Mus musculus (house mouse). The record is from RNAcentral. Lineage: Eukaryota; Metazoa; Chordata; Mammalia; Rodentia; Muridae.
UGGCACUUUGUGAUGUUCUAUGCCAAGUGU